RNAcentral lists this microRNA (22 nucleotides) under Homo sapiens (human). RNAcentral describes it as "hsa-miR-6792-3p". Lineage: Eukaryota; Metazoa; Chordata; Mammalia; Primates; Hominidae. The record is from miRBase by way of RNAcentral.
CUCCUCCACAGCCCCUGCUCAU